GCCUACGGGGGGCAGCAGUCGAGAAUCAUCCACAAUGGGGGAAACCCUGAUGGUGCGACGCCGCGUGGGGGAAUGAAGGUCUUCGGAUUGUAAACCCCUGUCAUGUGGGAGCAAAUUAAAAAGAUAGUACCACAAGAGGAAGAGACGGCUAACUCUGUGCCAGCAGCCGCGGUAAUACAGAGGUCUCAAGCGUUGUUCGGAAUCACUGGGCGUAAAGCGUGCGUAGGCUGUUUCGUAAGUCGUGUGUGAAAGGCGCGGGCUCAACCCGCGGACGGCACAUGAUACUGCGAGACUAGAGUAAUGGG
This 305-nucleotide ribosomal RNA is filed under the name uncultured bacterium. RNAcentral's name for it is "bacterial SSU rRNA". It matches the Rfam family "Bacterial small subunit ribosomal RNA", at positions 337 to 653 of the family's 1533-position model. The record is from RNAcentral.